RNAcentral lists this small nuclear RNA (164 nucleotides) under Anabas testudineus (climbing perch). Its description in RNAcentral is "U1 spliceosomal RNA (ENSATEG00000027363.1)". It matches the Rfam family "U1 spliceosomal RNA". From Rfam's summary of the family: U1 is a small nuclear RNA (snRNA) component of the spliceosome (involved in pre-mRNA splicing). Its 5' end forms complementary base pairs with the 5' splice junction, thus defining the 5' donor site of an intron. Lineage: Eukaryota; Metazoa; Chordata; Actinopteri; Anabantiformes; Anabantidae. The record is from Rfam by way of RNAcentral.
UUACUUACCUGGCAGGGGAGAUACCAUGAUCAUGAAGGUGGUUCACCCAGGGCGAGGCUCAGCCAUUGCACUCCGGCUGUGCUGACCCGUGCGAAUUCCCCAAAUGUGGGAAUCUCGACUGCAUAAUUUGUGGUAGUGGGGGACUGUGUUCGCGCUCUCCCCUG